RNAcentral lists this transfer RNA (67 nucleotides) under Neoneuromus fenestralis. RNAcentral's name for it is "tRNA-His". The record is from RNAcentral. Lineage: Eukaryota; Metazoa; Arthropoda; Insecta; Megaloptera; Corydalidae.
GUUUAAAUAGUUUAAAAAUAAAAAAUUUUGAUUUGUGGUGUCAAAGAUGUAAAUUUUACUUUAAACC